RNAcentral lists this ribosomal RNA (345 nucleotides) under uncultured soil bacterium. Its description in RNAcentral is "bacterial SSU rRNA". It matches the Rfam family "Bacterial small subunit ribosomal RNA", at positions 26 to 372 of the family's 1533-position model. The record is from RNAcentral.
AGGUUGAACGCUGGCGGCAGGCCUAACACAUGCAAGUCGAGCGGCAGCACGGGUACUUGUACCUGGUGGCGAGCGGCGGACGGGUGAGUAAUGCCUAGGAAUCUGCCUGAUAGUGGGGGAUAACGCUCGGAAACGGACGCUAAUACCGCAUACGUCCUACGGGAGAAAGCAGGGGACCUUCGGGCCUUGCGCUAUCAGAUGAGCCUAGGUCGGAUUAGCUAGUUGGUGGGGUAAUGGCUCACCAAGGCGACGAUCCGUAACUGGUCUGAGAGGAUGAUCAGUCACACCGGAACUGAGACACGGUCCAGACUCCUACGGGAGCAGCAGUGGGGAAUAUUGGACAAU